RNAcentral lists this transfer RNA (73 nucleotides) under Acropyga kinomurai. Its description in RNAcentral is "tRNA-His". The record is from RNAcentral. Lineage: Eukaryota; Metazoa; Arthropoda; Insecta; Hymenoptera; Formicidae.
AUUUAAAUAGUUUAAAUUUUUUAAAAUAUUAAUUUGUGGGAUUAAAGAUGUAAAUUAAAUUUUAUUUUAAAUU